Molecule: ribosomal RNA, 610 nt
Filed under: Nocardioides sp.
Lineage: Bacteria; Bacillati; Actinomycetota; Actinomycetes; Propionibacteriales; Nocardioidaceae
Description: bacterial SSU rRNA
Rfam family: Bacterial small subunit ribosomal RNA
Source: RNAcentral
UCUGCCUUGCACUCUGGGAUAGCCACUCGAAAGGGUGAUUAAUACCGGAUAUGACAUGGUCCUGCAUGGGGUUGUGUGGAAAGUUUUUCGGUGCAAGAUGUGCUCGCGGCCUAUCAGCUUGUUGGUGGGGUAAUGGCCUACCAAGGCUUCGACGGGUAGCCGGCCUGAGAGGGUGACCGGCCACACUGGGACUGAGACACGGCCCAGACUCCUACGGGAGGCAGCAGUGGGGAAUAUUGGACAAUGGGCGAAAGCCUGAUCCAGCAACGCCGCGUGAGGGAUGACGGCCUUCGGGUUGUAAACCUCUUUCAGUGCAGACGAAGCGCAAGUGACGGUAUGCACAGAAGAAGGACCGGCCAACUACGUGCCAGCAGCCGCGGUAAUACGUAGGGUCCGAGCGUUGUCCGGAAUUAUUGGGCGUAAAGGGCUCGUAGGCGGUUUGUUGCGUCGGGAGUGAAAACCAGGUGCUUAACACCUGGCCUGCUUUCGAUACGGGCAGACUAGAGGCAUUCAGGGGAGAACGGAAUUCCUGGUGUAGCGGUGAAAUGCGCAGAUAUCAGGAGGAACACCGGUGGCGAAGGCGGUUCUCUGGGAAUGUUCUGACGCUGAG